AGCGAACGUUAGCGGCGGGCUUAACACAUGCAAGUCGAACGAGAAAGCGGCUUCGGCCGUGAGUAAAGUGGCGGACGGGUGAGUAACACGUGGAUGAUCUACCCUUGAGCGGGGGAGUAACAGUCCGAAAGGAUUGCUAAUAACCGCAUACGUCAGCUGACGAUGGUCAGUUGGGAAAGGCAGCCCUCUUCAUGAAAGGUUAGCACUCGAGGAUGAGUCCGCGUCCCA
RNAcentral lists this ribosomal RNA (228 nucleotides) under uncultured bacterium. RNAcentral describes it as "partial 16S ribosomal RNA". It matches the Rfam family "Bacterial small subunit ribosomal RNA", at positions 29 to 240 of the family's 1533-position model. The record is from RNAcentral.